GCAGAGGUAGUUUAGAAGAAUGUAAGAUUGUCGUUUUUGCGGGGCCCGCGUAGUGGGCUCUCUGCU
RNAcentral lists this transfer RNA (66 nucleotides) under Lutraria maxima. RNAcentral's name for it is "tRNA-Asp". Lineage: Eukaryota; Metazoa; Mollusca; Bivalvia; Venerida; Mactridae. The record is from RNAcentral.